UGUGGUUUAAUUCGACGCAACGCGCAGAACCUUACCUAGACUUGACAUCCGGGAUUUCUGGAAACAGAGAAGUGCUUUAGCAAUAAAGAACCCGGUGACAGGUGCUGCAUGGCUGUCGUCAGCUCGUGUCGUGAGAUGUUGGGUUAAGUCCCGCAACGAGCGCAACCCUCGCCUUUAGUUGCCAGCAUUCAGUUGGGCACUCUAGAGGGACUGCCGGUGUCAAACCGGAGGAAGGUGGGAUGACGUCAAGUCCUCAUGGCCUUUAUGUCUAGGGCUACACACGUACUACAAUGGCCGGUACAAAGGGCAGCCACUCAGCGAUGAGGCGCUAAUCCCAUAAAGCCGGUCUCAGUCCGGAUCGCAGUCUGCAACUCGACUGCGUGAAGUUGGAAUCGCUAGUAAUCGUAGAUCAGCAUGCUACGGUGAAUACGUUCCCGGGCCUU
This 443-nucleotide ribosomal RNA is filed under the name uncultured Desulfovibrio sp. Its description in RNAcentral is "bacterial SSU rRNA". It matches the Rfam family "Bacterial small subunit ribosomal RNA", at positions 940 to 1382 of the family's 1533-position model. Lineage: Bacteria; Pseudomonadati; Thermodesulfobacteriota; Desulfovibrionia; Desulfovibrionales; Desulfovibrionaceae. The record is from RNAcentral.